AUCAGAGGCGAAGGCAGCUUCCUGGUUUAGAAUUGACGCUGAGGUACGAAAGCAUGGGGAGCAAACAGGAUUAGAUACCCUGGUAGUCCAUGCUGUCAACGAUGAGUGUUACAUGUUGGGAUAAGUUAAAUUAUUUUGGUGUGUCAGCUAACGCGUUAAACACUCCGCCUGGGGACUACGAUCGCAAGAUUAAAACCUAAAGGAAUUGACGGAAACUUGUACAAGCGGUGGAGCAUGUGGUUUAAUUUGAUAUGGAGCGAAAAAUCUUACCAACUCUUUAAAUGCAGGAUAAAAAUUCUUAAAAAGGAUUUAUCUAUUAUUCUAGACAGUGUUGUGGAGUAAAUAAGAGACUUGCAUGGAGUGUUGCAUGGCUGUCGUCAGCUCGUGUCGUGAGGCGUUAGGUUAAUUCCGUUAACGAGCGAAACCCUUAUUCUUUAUAGUUAAAAUAAUUUAACUAAAGGAGACUAUUAAUGAAAUAUUAAAGGAAGGAGAGGAUGACGUCAAGUCAGUAUGGCCUUUAUGGGUUGGGCUACACACGUGCUACAAUGGUUAGGACAAAGGAUAGCAAUAGCGUGAGCUGGAGCAAAAUCCAAAAAACUAAUCUUAGUUCAGAUUAUUCUCUGUAAUUCGAGAAUAUGAAGGUGGAAUCGCUAGUAAUCGCAAAUCAGCAUGUUGCGGUGAAUAUGCUUACAAGUUUAGUACACACCGCCCGUCACGCCAUGGAAAUUGAAACUAUUUAAAGCAAGUGUAGCUUAUAGGGGAGUUAUAGGAGAAUUAAUCAGGUAAUGUGCGAUAUCCUUUAAUUUUUAUAAGGAGUUUGCAAGCGUAGGGUCAAGGACUGGGGUGAAGUCGUAACAAGGUAACC
RNAcentral lists this ribosomal RNA (865 nucleotides) under uncultured bacterium. Its description in RNAcentral is "bacterial SSU rRNA". It matches the Rfam family "Bacterial small subunit ribosomal RNA", at positions 708 to 1501 of the family's 1533-position model. The record is from RNAcentral.